GGUUAAGCGACUAAGCGUACACGGUGGAUGCCCUGGCAGUCAGAGGCGAUGAAGGACGUGCUAAUCUGCGAUAAGCGUCGGUAAGGUGAUAUGAACCGUUAUAACCGGCGAUUUCCGAAUGGGGAAACCCAGUGUGAUUAGUCACACUAUCAUUAACUGAAUCCAUAGGUUAAUGAGGCGAACCGGGGGAACUGAAACAUCUAAGUACCCCGAGGAAAAGAAAUCAACCGAGAUUCCCCCAGUAGCGGCGAGCGAACGGGGAGCAGCCCAGAGCCUGAAUCAGUGUGUGUGUUAGUGGAAGCGUCUGGAAAGGCGUGCGAUACAGGGUGACAGCCCCGUACACAAAAAUGCACAUGCUGUGAGCUCGAUGAGUAGGGCGGGACACGUGGUAUCCUGUCUGAAUAUGGGGGGACCAUCCUCCAAGGCUAAAUACUCCUGACUGACCGAUAGUGAACCAGUACCGUGAGGGAAAGGCGAAAAGAACCCCGGCGAGGGGAGUGAAAAAGAACCUGAAACCGUGUACGUACAAGCAGUGGGAGCACGCUUAGGCGUGUGACUGCGUACCUUUUGUAUAAUGGGUCAGCGACUUAUAUUCUGUAGCAAGGUUAACCGAAUAGGGGAGCCGAAGGGAAACCGAGUCUUAACUGGGCGUUAAGUUGCAGGGUAUAGACCCGAAACCCGGUGAUCUAGCCAUGGGCAGGUUGAAGGUUGGGUAACACUAACUGGAGGACCGAACCGACUAAUGUUGAAAAAUUAGCGGAUGACUUGUGGCUGGGGGUGAAAGGCCAAUCAAACCGGGAGAUAGCUGGUUCUCCCCGAAAGCUAUUUAGGUAGCGCCUCGUGAAUUCAUCUCCGGGGGUAGAGCACUGUUUCGGCAAGGGGGUCAUCCCGACUUACCAACCCGAUGCAAACUGCGAAUACCGGAGAAUGUUAUCACGGGAGACACACGGCGGGUGCUAACGUCCGUCGUGAAGAGGGAAACAACCCAGACCGCCAGCUAAGGUCCCAAAGUCAUGGUUAAGUGGGAAACGAUGUGGGAAGGCCCAGACAGCCAGGAUGUUGGCUUAGAAGCAGCCAUCAUUUAAAGAAAGCGUAAUAGCUCACUGGUCGAGUCGGCCUGCGCGGAAGAUGUAACGGGGCUAAACCAUGCACCGAAGCUGCGGCAGCGACGCUUAUGCGUUGUUGGGUAGGGGAGCGUUCUGUAAGCCUGCGAAGGUGUGCUGUGAGGCAUGCUGGAGGUAUCAGAAGUGCGAAUGCUGACAUAAGUAACGAUAAAGCGGGUGAAAAGCCCGCUCGCCGGAAGACCAAGGGUUCCUGUCCAACGUUAAUCGGGGCAGGGUGAGUCGACCCCUAAGGCGAGGCCGAAAGGCGUAGUCGAUGGGAAACAGGUUAAUAUUCCUGUACUUGGUGUUACUGCGAAGGGGGGACGGAGAAGGCUAUGUUGGCCGGGCGACGGUUGUCCCGGUUUAAGCGUGUAGGCUGGUUUUCCAGGCAAAUCCGGAAAAUCAAGGCUGAGGCGUGAUGACGAGGCACUACGGUGCUGAAGCAACAAAUGCCCUGCUUCCAGGAAAAGCCUCUAAGCAUCAGGUAACAUCAAAUCGUACCCCAAACCGACACAGGUGGUCAGGUAGAGAAUACCAAGGCGCUUGAGAGAACUCGGGUGAAGGAACUAGGCAAAAUGGUGCCGUAACUUCGGGAGAAGGCACGCUGAUAUGUAGGUGAAGUCCCUCGCGGAUGGAGCUGAAAUCAGUCGAAGAUACCAGCUGGCUGCAACUGUUUAUUAAAAACACAGCACUGUGCAAACACGAAAGUGGACGUAUACGGUGUGACGCCUGCCCGGUGCCGGAAGGUUAAUUGAUGGGGUUAGCGCAAGCGAAGCUCUUGAUCGAAGCCCCGGUAAACGGCGGCCGUAACUAUAACGGUCCUAAGGUAGCGAAAUUCCUUGUCGGGUAAGUUCCGACCUGCACGAAUGGCGUAAUGAUGGCCAGGCUGUCUCCACCCGAGACUCAGUGAAAUUGAACUCGCUGUGAAGAUGCAGUGUACCCGCGGCAAGACGGAAAGACCCCGUGAACCUUUACUAUAGCUUGACACUGAACAUUGAGCCUUGAUGUGUAGGAUAGGUGGGAGGCUUUGAAGUGUGGACGCCAGUCUGCAUGGAGCCGACCUUGAAAUACCACCCUUUAAUGUUUGAUGUUCUAACGUGGACCCGUAAUCCGGGUUGCGGACAGUGUCUGGUGGGUAGUUUGACUGGGGCGGUCUCCUCCUAAAGAGUAACGGAGGAGCACGAAGGUUGGCUAAUCCUGGUCGGACAUCAGGAGGUUAGUGCAAUGGCAUAAGCCAGCUUGACUGCGAGCGUGACGGCGCGAGCAGGUGCGAAAGCAGGUCAUAGUGAUCCGGUGGUUCUGAAUGGAAGGGCCAUCGCUCAACGGAUAAAAGGUACUCCGGGGAUAACAGGCUGAUACCGCCCAAGAGUUCAUAUCGACGGCGGUGUUUGGCACCUCGAUGUCGGCUCAUCACAUCCUGGGGCUGAAGUAGGUCCCAAGGGUAUGGCUGUUCGCCAUUUAAAGUGGUACGCGAGCUGGGUUUAGAACGUCGUGAGACAGUUCGGUCCCUAUCUGCCGUGGGCGCUGGAGAAUUGAGGGGGGCUGCUCCUAGUACGAGAGGACCGGAGUGGACGCAUCACUGGUGUUCGGGUUGUCAUGCCAAUGGCACUGCCCGGUAGCUAAAUGCGGAAGAGAUAAGUGCUGAAAGCAUCUAAGCACGAAACUUGCCCCGAGAUGAGUUCUCCCUGACUCCUUGAGAGUCCUGAAGGAACGUUGAAGACGACGACGUUGAUAGGCCGGGUGUGUAAGCGCAGCGAUGCGUUGAGCUAACCGGUACUAAUGAACCGUGAGGCUUAACCUU
This 2904-nucleotide ribosomal RNA is filed under the name Escherichia coli O112ab:H8. Its description in RNAcentral is "23S ribosomal RNA". It matches the Rfam family "Bacterial large subunit ribosomal RNA". The record is from RNAcentral. Lineage: Bacteria; Pseudomonadati; Pseudomonadota; Gammaproteobacteria; Enterobacterales; Enterobacteriaceae.